UAGGGAAUCUUCGGCAAUGGACGAAAGUACUGACCGAGCAACGCCGCGUGAGUGAAGAAGGUUUUCGGACCGUAAAACUCUGUUGUUAGAGAAGAACAAGGGUGAGAGUAACUGUUCACCCCUUGACGGUAUCUAACCAGAAAGCCACGGCUAACUACGUGCCAG
RNAcentral lists this ribosomal RNA (165 nucleotides) under uncultured bacterium. RNAcentral's name for it is "partial 16S rRNA". It matches the Rfam family "Bacterial small subunit ribosomal RNA", at positions 355 to 511 of the family's 1533-position model. The record is from RNAcentral.